GGGAGGUAGUGACAAUAAAUAACAAUACAGGGUUCUUUUGGAUCUUGUAAUUGGAAUGAGUACAAUUUAAAUCUCUUAACGAGGAACAAUUGGAGGGCAAGUCUGGUGCCAGCAGCCGCGGUAAUUCCAGCUCCAAUAGCGUAUAUUAAAGUUGUUGCAGUUAAAAAGCUCGUAGUUGAAUUUCGGGAUCAAUAUGUUGGUCGUGCCUUGGUACGUACUAAUUUAUUGGUUUCUUCCUUCUGACGAACCUUGAUGUCAUUAAUUUGGUGUCUUGGGGAAUCAGGACUGUUACUUUGAAAAAUUAGAGUGUUUAAAGCAAGCAUUAGCUUGAAUACAUUAGCAUGGAAUAAUGAAAUAGGACGUUUGAUCCUAUUUCGUUGGUUUCUAGGAUCGACGUAAUGAUUAAUAGGGAUAGUUGGG
This 420-nucleotide ribosomal RNA is filed under the name uncultured Glomeraceae. RNAcentral's name for it is "SSU rRNA". It matches the Rfam family "Eukaryotic small subunit ribosomal RNA", at positions 459 to 886 of the family's 1831-position model. Lineage: Eukaryota; Fungi; Glomeromycota; Glomeromycetes; Glomerales; Glomeraceae. The record is from RNAcentral.